RNAcentral lists this ribosomal RNA (757 nucleotides) under uncultured bacterium. Its description in RNAcentral is "bacterial SSU rRNA". It matches the Rfam family "Bacterial small subunit ribosomal RNA", at positions 69 to 833 of the family's 1533-position model. The record is from RNAcentral.
UCGAGGUAGCUUGCUACCGAGAGGACAGCGGCGAAAGGGAGAGUAACACGUAGGUACGUACCUCUAGACCCGGGAUAGCGUCGGGAAACUGGCAGUAAUACCGGAUAAUGUCUCCGGACUAAAGGUGUGAUUCCGUCUAGAGAGCGGCCUGCGUCUUGUUAGGUUGUUGGUGGGGUAAUGGCUCACCAAGCCGAAGAUGGGUACCGGGUGUGAGAGCAUGGCCCGGCUCACUGGGACUGAGACACUGCCCAGACACCUACGGGUGGCUGCAGUCGAGAAUCUUCCGCAAUGGACGAAAGUCUGACGGAGCGACGCCGCGUGCGGGACGAAGGCCCUCGGGUUGUAAACCGCUGUCAGUUGGGAGGAAAUCACAUGGGGCUAUCCCCAUGUGUUGACCGAUCUUCAGAGGAAGCGCAGGCUAAGUUCGUGCCAGCAGCCGCGGUAACACGAACUGCGCAAACGUUAUUCGGAAUUACUGGGCUUAAAGAGUUCGUAGGCGGUCUAUCAGGUGAGGUGUGAAAGCCCUCGGCUCAACCGAGGAAUUGCGCUUCAAACCGGUAGACUUGAGGGAGGCAGAGGUGAGUGGAACUGAUGGUGGAGCGGUGAAAUGCGUUGAUAUCAUCAGGAACACCAGUGGCGAAGGCGACUCACUGGGCCUCUUCUGACGCUGAGGAACGAAAGCUAGGGGAGCGAACGGGGAUUAGAUACCCCGGUAGUCCUAGCUGUAAACCUUUGAGCACUAUAUCGAGGGGGCUCC